Molecule: long non-coding RNA, 282 nt
Filed under: Mytilus galloprovincialis (Mediterranean mussel)
Lineage: Eukaryota; Metazoa; Mollusca; Bivalvia; Mytilida; Mytilidae
Source: RNAcentral
CUUUCUAUUUUUAAUUCUGUAUCAUAUUCUCGAGGAGAUCCAUUUACAAUAACACUACACCUGUAUAGCCCUUCGUCUUCAAUUGUUAUAUUAACAAUUUGUAAAUUGAAUUCUCCCCUAGAAUGAUUUCCGGUAAUUUCCAAUCGAUCACUUUUCCUUAGAUCAUGUUUAUUUGUUUACCAUCAGUAUAUGGAAUAAGAUUAGGUGAUCCGAGACACGUCACUGAAGAAUUAUCUGCAAUUCUAGGACAAUACAGUAUUGUUUCCUCUCCGAUUCGACAGU